AUACGUAGGGUGCGAGCGUUAAUCGGAAUUACUGGGCGUAAAGCGUGCGCAGGCGGUUAUGUAAGACAGAUGUGAAAUCCCCGGGCUCAACCUGGGAACUGCAUUUGUGACUGCAUGACUCGAGUGCGGCAGAGGGGGAUGGAAUUCCGCGUGUAGCAGUGAAAUGCGUAGAUAUGCGGAGGAACACCGAUGGCGAAGGCAAUCCCCUGGGCCUGCACUGACGCUCAUGCACGAAAGCGUGGGGAGCAAACAGGAUUAGAAACCCCAGUAGUCC
This 274-nucleotide ribosomal RNA is filed under the name uncultured bacterium. Its description in RNAcentral is "partial 16S ribosomal RNA". It matches the Rfam family "Bacterial small subunit ribosomal RNA", at positions 523 to 796 of the family's 1533-position model. The record is from RNAcentral.